GGGGGCGACUGGAUUCGACACGAUACGUUCGAAGGAAGAAGCAGGCCGAGGUCUCCUCGCCUCGUUAAUCAGGGGUACAAGACGCCAAGCGUCGACAAUAACUACGCUCUCGCUGCCUAAAUAGUCAGCGACGCCGCCCGGUGGGAGUCCCCGCCACCGGAUCCGACGUCAGAUAGGGGACUACCGACCGGCUGACGGAAGUAUGCCGCGGGGGAAUCGCAACCUUCCUGGGAACGGACACGUGGGUCGCCGGUGUCGUCCGUUCCGAGACACAACAGGUGACUGAGCCUGGAGAUGCUUCCGGAGUGUGUGUCGUGGACCGGAGUUCGAUUCUCCGCGCCUCCACCA
This 348-nucleotide transfer-messenger RNA is filed under the name Coriobacteriia bacterium. It matches the Rfam family "transfer-messenger RNA". From Rfam's summary of the family: Bacterial tmRNA, also known as 10Sa RNA or SsrA, is named for its dual tRNA and mRNA-like properties. Its role is to liberate the mRNA from a stalled ribosome. The record is from RNAcentral. Lineage: Bacteria; Bacillati; Actinomycetota; Coriobacteriia.